GAUAAAAGGUGUAAAAGAGAUUUAACAGUAAAAUGUCAACCUUUAACUUUCCUCAGUGCUUUUGUUGAAGAACUCCAUCAACCCUUUCCGAAUUUCCAAACCUGGAUUUUGUCAAUUCUUGGUAAAGACAUCUGCCAAUUUUUUUCCAGACCUGACAUCUGGUAAACUUCUUCUUCCUUUCUGCUUCUUUCACAGAGUGAAACUCUAUCAUAAUAUGCUUAUUUCUUAAUGGAACAUCAGAUUCUUGGCAAAUACUGAAUAUUGUUUGGCAUGACUUGCGACUGAUCUAAAUCCGCUAGCAAUUUUCUAAGCCAAAUGGCUUGGUUCACAAUAGCUGCAAUAGCCAUAAAGUCGGCUCCCACCAUUGAUUGUGCAACAGUUUACUUCUUCCUUGAUUUCCACCUGAACAGACCUGAUCAGGUUAAAACAUAAACUGAAAUGCUCUUGAAAUCAUCCACAGACUAAGCUCAACCAUUGUUUGAACUGAAGAAAUCUCACUUCAGGACUCCUUUCAAACUUGAUGCAAUAAUUAGCAGUUCCCUUAAGACAUUGUUCAUGUGGGUUUAAUAAUUCAACUGUCAAGUUUAAACACAAAAUACAGAUUUCAGAUUUCUGGUAUAUGAUUUGUAAGGAAGAUCUCCACUUGACUUUUUUAGAUGGGCGUGAAAAUCCAUUUUGAGGCAUCUUGGUCAGUAGAUAAAUCUUGUACAUAUUAAAGGGAUAAAUAUAGUAUUGUUUAUCCCUUUAAAUCAUAAAAAUCUUGCUAUUUAUGAUUUUUUUUCUGAGGAAGGAUAUUAAAAGAGUUUGACAUACAUGAUAGCUACAAAAUAAAAGGAUUACUUCCCUAUGUUACAUAUGACUACAACUGCUAAGCAAAUUUUGUUAUCAAAUGAUGUUGAAUCUGCAGUUAAUGAACAUGGUUAUAAUCAUAUGCAAACGACCAGCACCUUCCCGCCUGCAACUUUAGCAGCUCCUGUGCUCUUACAAGCACAGGCACACUAUUGAUUCUAAGUUCAAGUCCAGGUAGGAUGUUUGGAGAUGGGACUUAAGGGUAGCUUAAGAGAUUUCAAUUUUCCUAUCUAAAAGGAACCAUGAAAACUAGCUUCCUAAACAAAAUUAGAAGGAAAUUAUUAAACUCAAGGGUAAGAUAGGAUUCAUUAGGUUACAAAGUAAUGAAUCAAAAUAAUAGGCUUCAUGCAUUGGCUAUUCCUUUUUUGGUUAAUAUUCUUAAGCAUAUGGUGAGCUUUUGCAUUGAUCUCUUCCACUAACCAUCAACAGAAAUAUGCUGACAGCAGAAUAAUAUCUAUUAAAAAUUAUUUGCCCCAUAGGAUCAGAUUCCAUAAGCAAUAUACCAACUGAAAAGGCGCCAAACAGUGGAGGGAGAAGCUUCUUUGGCAUGUGUGCCCAAAGUUCUGACCUGUGGUCCCAGAUGAGAAUGUUUAGUACGGGUUGGAGGUUGAUGUUUUUGAGCAAGUUUUUGGGAUAAUCAGAGUUGUAUCCGUUAAUGUGAGCUUCAACUCUGUUUCCUGAGUCAUACCUAACGUAGAUGAAGUCAGCUUCACGCGACUUUAACAUGUUAUGUUUGCAUAGGAUAGUUGCAAUCACUUUUGGCCAAAAGGCAAAUAGAUAAAGGCACCACAAAAAAAAGAUGUACGUGUGGUUCAGUGGUUCCACUUCACAUGGAUAUGGUAAACCACUACUACAUUAUUUGUGUUGGGUAUUUGGUUCUCUCCCAAUUUCCAUGUAAUAUUUCCUUUCAUCUGGUUUAGUGGUUCUACUACAUUAUCUUGAAGUGUAGGCAUUAUACCCAAAAAUAAACUAAAUGAGUGAAUCUACGCCAUUGAUAAAAAAAGGAAAAGAAAACCAGGGAAGAAAGUAAAAUAUAGAGAGAAAAAAAACAACAGAUAGAGGAGGGAGGGAGAGAGGAAACAGCAGCUUCAUGAAUACAAUUGUUUCCCGCCAAGUGCAUAGUAGAAAAAAGGUAAGCAUUUAAUCUUUGCUCUGUUGACAUAAGGGUCAAGAGAAAGAACAAGAGGCCCAAGAGGAAAUAAAGGCGAUGCUUUGUGGUUGGAACUUUAUUCAAAAUGUAUGCGCUUUUGACAAAAAGGAGAGGGCCAUGUUUUGGAGGUGGAAUCAUGUGCCCUGCAGUGGCAUCUCACCUAUGUUCUCUGACUAUGUGGCUCCUCCAUAAUUCCAUUUUACUCCAGCUACAGCACCCAAGACAAAAAAUUUUUGGUACCACUUCCGCACUUGCUAGGAAAAAUUUUUCAUACCAUUUUUUGUGAUUAAUUGACUAUCUCAUCUUCCCUAAAAGAAAAUUUAACCAUAUCUUCCACUCACUUGACUCUGGAGAUGGAACCAAGUUCUUCUGGAAUUAUCAUACACAUCAGAACAUUAAAACUUACUAGAACCCAACAAAACUAUAAUGAUUGAAGGGGUUUUUUUUUUUAUGAAAUAAAAGGGCAAAUCAGAAUUACAUGAAAGAAACCUUGUCCCAUUAAACUAUUGGGGCAGGGAGGGAAUUUUAACUAACAUCUCAUGCCAAAGGAGAAAAAAAGAAGCUAAAAACUAAAUCAUGGACUCUCAAGUCAAACUUUCUGAUGGAGAAGCUCAACAAGACAAAUGGCAGAUUUGAUUGGAACAAAAUGAGACUAACAUGAAAGAAUAAUAAUACUAACAAAGUAAAACAAAGAAUAAUAAGUUACCAGUAGAAAUAAGGAAAGAAUAAUAAAAUAGUAAGUAAUAUAAUUAAACAAUGAAGGGAGAAUGAGAGGGCAUAAUGGGCCUGUAAAGGACGGAAGCCAAAAAGUGGAGAUGAAACCUUGGCGAGAGAGAAUGGAAUCAAAUCUCCCACUAUCUCAGCAACCAUGAACACUCCACCCAUCACAAAAACAUUCUCUUCUUUCUUUCUCUCUCCUACAUGAUCUGAAAUCACCACUAAAGCAAGAUUAAGGUUAAACAUGAAAUCAGAUAAGCUCAGGUAAGAUAACAACAACCAAAAACAUUUAAAAAAAAUGGAAAAAAGAGGAAUUUACCUACUGUUACUAUAUGCCAAGGCUAAAUUAAUUCAAAAAAGCUUACCUCAAAAGCAUAUCUCCGCUAUCAACGCGACGCUCUUCUUCUCUCUUUUCUGAGCGUGUUCAAAGAACCCAUAU
RNAcentral lists this long non-coding RNA (3155 nucleotides) under Carica papaya (papaya). Its description in RNAcentral is "long non-coding RNA (CPAP_LNC011380)". Lineage: Eukaryota; Viridiplantae; Streptophyta; Magnoliopsida; Brassicales; Caricaceae. The record is from RNAcentral.